This 269-nucleotide ribosomal RNA is filed under the name uncultured bacterium. RNAcentral describes it as "partial 16S ribosomal RNA". It matches the Rfam family "Bacterial small subunit ribosomal RNA", at positions 85 to 354 of the family's 1533-position model. The record is from RNAcentral.
UGUUAAGUUAGUGGCGGACGGGUGAGUAACGCGUGGGUAACCUGCCGUAUACCGGGGGAUAACACCUGGAAACAGGUGCUAAUACCGCAUAAGCGCACGGGACCGCAUGGUCCAGUGUGAAAAACCGAGGUGGUAUGCGAUGGACCCGCGUCUGAUUAGCCAGUUGGCAGGGUAACGGCCUACCAAAGCGACGAUCAGUAGCCGGCCUGAGAGGGUGGACGGCCACAUUGGGACUGAGACACGGCCCAAACUCCUACGGAAGGCAGCAG